This 484-nucleotide ribosomal RNA is filed under the name uncultured bacterium. RNAcentral's name for it is "partial 16S ribosomal RNA". It matches the Rfam family "Bacterial small subunit ribosomal RNA", at positions 30 to 507 of the family's 1533-position model. The record is from RNAcentral.
AUUGAACGCUGGCGGCAGGCCUAACACAUGCAGGUCGAGCGGAUGAAGGGAGCUUGCUCCUGGAUUCAGCGGCGGACGGGUGAGUAAUGCCUAGGAAUCUGCCUGGUAGUGGGGGAUAACGUCCGGAAACGGGCGCUAAUACCGCAUACGUCCUGAGGGAGAAAGUGGGGGAUCUUCGGACCUCACGCUAUCAGAUGAGCCUAGGUCGGAUUAGCUAGUUGGUGGGGUAAAGGCCUACCAAGGCGACGAUCCGUAACUGGUCUGAGAGGAUGAUCAGUCACACGGGAACUGAGACACGGUCCAGACUCCGAAGGGAGGCAGCAGUGGGGAAUAGUGGACAAUGGGCGAAAGCCUGAUCCAGACAUGCCGCGUGGGUGAAGAAGGUCUUCGGAUUGUAAAGCACUUUAAGUUGGGAGGAAGGGCAGUAAGUUAAUACCUUGCUGUUUUGACGUUACCAACAGAAGAAGCAACGGCUAACUUCGUG